UUUGUUUCUGUUUUUUUUGUUGUUUU
Molecule: small RNA, 26 nt
Filed under: Arabidopsis thaliana (thale cress)
Lineage: Eukaryota; Viridiplantae; Streptophyta; Magnoliopsida; Brassicales; Brassicaceae
Description: ATSL141770
Source: RNAcentral